This 76-nucleotide transfer RNA is filed under the name Heterocephalus glaber (naked mole-rat). It matches the Rfam family "tRNA". Rfam says of the family: Transfer RNA (tRNA) molecules are approximately 80 nucleotides in length. Their secondary structure includes four short double-helical elements and three loops (D, anti-codon, and T loops). Further hydrogen bonds mediate the characteristic L-shaped molecular structure. tRNAs have two regions of fundamental functional importance: the anti-codon, which is responsible for specific mRNA codon recognition, and the 3' end, to which the tRNAs corresponding amino acid is attached (by aminoacyl-tRNA synthetases). tRNAs cope with the degeneracy of the genetic code in two manners: having more than one tRNA (with a specific anti-codon) for a particular amino acid; and 'wobble' base-pairing, i.e. permitting non-standard base-pairing at the 3rd anti-codon position. Lineage: Eukaryota; Metazoa; Chordata; Mammalia; Rodentia; Bathyergidae. The record is from Rfam by way of RNAcentral.
GGUGAUGUAGCUCAGUGGCAAAGUGUGUGCCUAGCAUGGGUGCAUGAGGCCCUGAGUUUAAUCCCCAGUACCACCA